This 572-nucleotide ribosomal RNA is filed under the name uncultured bacterium. RNAcentral describes it as "partial 16S ribosomal RNA". It matches the Rfam family "Bacterial small subunit ribosomal RNA", at positions 355 to 921 of the family's 1533-position model. The record is from RNAcentral.
CUAAGAAUAUUCCGCAAUGGACGGAAGUCUGACGGAGCGACGCCGCGUGGAUGACGAAGGCCGAAAGGUUGUAAAGUCCUUUUGCUGGGGAAGAAUAACCGCAGGAGGGAAUGCCUGUGGGAUGACAAGAACCGGCGAAUAAGCCCCGGCCAACUACGUGCCAGCAGCCGCGGUAACACGUAGGGGGCGAGCGUUGUUCGGAAUUACUGGGCGUAAAGGGCAUGUAGGCGGCUUGGAAAGCCUGGCGUGAAAGUCUGCAGCUUAACUGCAGGGGUGCGCUGGGAACUGCUGAGCUUGAGUGACGGAGAGGGAGCUGGAAUUCCUGGUGUAGGGGUGAAAUCUGUAGAUAUCAGGAAGAACACCGAUGGCGAAGGCAAGCUCCUGGCCGAUGACUGACGCUGAGGUGCGAAAGUGUGGGGAUCAAACAGGAUUAGAUACCCUGGUAGUCCACACAGUCAACGAUGUGCACUAGGUGCUGGGGCGGUAGCUUCGGUGCCGGAGCGAACGUGAUAAGUGCACCGCCUGGGGAGUAUGCUCGCAAGGGUGAAACUCAAAGGAAGUUGACGGGGGUC